GCGACCCCAGGUCAGGCGGGAUUACCCGUGAGUUUAA
This 37-nucleotide ribosomal RNA is filed under the name Salix triandra. RNAcentral describes it as "partial 28S ribosomal RNA". The record is from RNAcentral. Lineage: Eukaryota; Viridiplantae; Streptophyta; Magnoliopsida; Malpighiales; Salicaceae.